This 680-nucleotide ribosomal RNA is filed under the name uncultured Gammaproteobacteria bacterium. Its description in RNAcentral is "bacterial SSU rRNA". It matches the Rfam family "Bacterial small subunit ribosomal RNA", at positions 13 to 684 of the family's 1533-position model. The record is from RNAcentral. Lineage: Bacteria; Pseudomonadati; Pseudomonadota; Gammaproteobacteria.
UUGAUCAUGGCUCAGAUUGAACGCUGGCGGCAGGCCUAACACAUGCAAGUCGGACGGCAGCACGGGCUUCGGCCUGGUGGCGAGUGGCGGACGGGUGAGUAGCGCUUGGGAAUCUGCCUGGCAUUGGGGGAUAACUCGGGGAAACUCGAGCUAAUACCGCAUACGCCCUGAGGGGGAAAGCAGGGGACCUGCUUGCAGGCCUUGCGAUGCUGGAUGAGCCCAAGCCGGAUUAGCUGGUUGGUGGGGUAAAGGCCUACCAAGGCGACGAUCCGUAGCUGGUCUGAGAGGAUGAUCAGCCACACUGGGACUGAGACACGGCCCAGACUCCUACGGGAGGCAGCAGUGGGGAAUAUUGGACAAUGGGGGCAACCCUGAUCCAGCCAUGCCGCGUGUGUGAAGAAGGUCUUAGGAUUGUAAAGCACUUUAAGUCAGGAGGAAGUGCCGCUGGCGAAUACUUGGCGACAUUGACGUUACCGACAGAAUAAGCACCGGCUAACUUCGUGCCAGCAGCCGCGGUAAUACGAAGGGUGCGAGCGUUAAUCGGAAUUACUGGGCGUAAAGCGCGCGCAGGCGGUUCGAUAAGAAGGAUGUGAAAUCCCCGGGCUCAACCUGGGCACUGCAUUUUUAACUGUCGGGCUAGAGUACGGUAGAGGGUGGUGGAAUUUCCCGUGUAGCGGUGA